UGGGGAAUAUUGGACAAUGGGCGCAAGCCUGAUCCAGCCAUGCCGCGUGAGUGAUGAAGGCCCUAGGGUUGUAAAGCUCUUUCACCGGUGAAGAUAAUGACGGUAACCGGAGAAGAAGCCCCGGCUAACUUCGUGCCAGCAGCCGCGGUAAUACGAAGGGGGCUAGCGUUGUUCGGAUUUACUGGGCGUAAAGCGCACGUAGGCGGACUUUUAAGGCAGGGGUGAAAUCCCGGGGCUCAACCCCGGAACUGCCUUUGAUAAUGGAAGUCUUGAGUAUGGUAGAGGUGAGUGGAAUUCCGAGUGUAGAGGUGAAAUUCGUAGAUAUUCGGAGGAACACCAGUGGCGAAGGCGGCUCACUGGACCAUUACUGACGCUGAGGUGCGAAAGCGUGGGGAGCAAACAGG
RNAcentral lists this ribosomal RNA (404 nucleotides) under Actinomycetes bacterium. RNAcentral describes it as "Actinobacteria bacterium partial 16S ribosomal RNA". It matches the Rfam family "Bacterial small subunit ribosomal RNA", at positions 355 to 776 of the family's 1533-position model. The record is from RNAcentral. Lineage: Bacteria; Bacillati; Actinomycetota; Actinomycetes.